This is a long non-coding RNA of Toxotes jaculatrix (banded archerfish), 1135 nucleotides long. RefSeq lists it as uncharacterized. NCBI's taxonomy places the organism in Eukaryota, Metazoa, Chordata, Actinopteri, Toxotidae. The record is from RefSeq and is a predicted model, not a curated record. The transcript has 3 exons.
UUUGAAGCAAAGGCGUCGCGUUAACGGGAUCAAUGGAGAACAAAGGGUAACACUCUUGGUUUCACCUGAAGUCAAGUCACAACAAUCAUACUCAUAAACACAUGAGACCUACAUUCAGUAGUGCCCCAUUUGCUCCCAAGGGAUAAAACCUUCAUCAUGUACCCAGCAGCCCUCAGAGGAGAUCAGCUGACACAGGCAUCUCUAAACCAAGAUGGAGAGGAAGAAGACAGUAGAAGGGGGGAGUCCAGAGCAACGACAGUCAUAACGAUUGUGGUGGUAAAUAAAAAGUACAUGUUCAUCUCUGAGGACUUGUUCUAUUUCCAGAAGCCUUCUUGGGGGGGGCUUUGGUCUGACCACCAACACAAAGACACUUCCUGUCUGAUCUGUAAAGAGAAAAGCUGCAUGUCCCUGGAGGAGCAAGCCUGAGUUCAAAACAUGAACUACUGACUAUAUAAGGAGCUUAUGGACUUUGUCACCACAAUACAGAUCAGCCAUACAGCCCAGCGUGUAAACAAAUGUCAGUCACAUGAUGAUGGGGAGUACUUUUAGAGGAGGAAAAAAGAAACAAGAAAAGGAGAGAAAAGACUGAAAGCAAAGAUUAUCACCCGUGUGUACGCUUGUGAGCUGCCUGACCUUCAUCGUGAAUGAGUGGGAACCUCCAGUAACUCAUCCACCAUUCACGUGCUUCUACAGCCUUUUAAAUGGAUUAACGGAGGUCUUUGUCUCUCCCUGCUCUUUCUCACCACCUCUUUUCUCUCCUCUGAAAUGGCACUCCAUAGGUGGAGUAUCAGUCUGUGAGAGAGGCAGCGAGGAAGGGGAUGGGGUUGCCAUGACGAUGCCAACUUAACGAACUGUGUCUGUCUUCCUGAUUGCGGGUUUAAUUGGAUAUCAUUGAGGAAGAACAAAAAAGCAUUUGAGAGGAGUGCAGAAUGCAGAAUCUCUGUCUAGCUGCCUGUCUGUCUUAAUGUCAUACUCUCUCCCCUUUUGUGUAGUUAUGAAUGAUUAAUGGUGAUUAUAUAAGAGCUGUAGUAUAUGAAGUGAAUGUGUUGAUAUAGUCCACUGAGGACGAGAGAAGGGACUUCCACAGGUCCUCAACAUGUUAAGAUAACUUAGAAUAAUAAAGAGCAUUUAUGUC